Molecule: ribosomal RNA, 116 nt
Filed under: Methylobacterium gossipiicola
Lineage: Bacteria; Pseudomonadati; Pseudomonadota; Alphaproteobacteria; Hyphomicrobiales; Methylobacteriaceae
Source: RNAcentral
UCUGGUGGUUUGAGCGGUGUGCCCAAAACCCGAUCCCAUCUCGAACUCGGCCGUUAAACGCACCAGCGCCCAUGGUACUGUGUCUCAAGACACGGGAGAGUCGGUCGCCGCCAGAC